GCCGAUGUGGUGGAAUAGGCAGACGCAAGGGACUUAAAAUCCCUCGAACGAGAGUUCGUACCGGUUCAAGUCCGGUCAUCGGCACCA
RNAcentral lists this transfer RNA (87 nucleotides) under Clostridia bacterium. RNAcentral describes it as "tRNA-Leu". It matches the Rfam family "tRNA". Rfam says of the family: Transfer RNA (tRNA) molecules are approximately 80 nucleotides in length. Lineage: Bacteria; Bacillati; Bacillota; Clostridia. The record is from RNAcentral.